AGUGAACGCUGGCGGCAGGCCUAACACAUGCAAGUCGAGCGGAUGAAGGGAGCUUGCUCCUGGAUUCAGCGGCGGAGGGGCGAGUAAGGCCUAGGAACCUGCCUGGUUAUGGGGGAUAACGGGCGGAAACGGGCGCUAAUACCGCAUACGUCCUGAGGGAGUAAGGGGGGGAGCAGCGGACCUCACGCUAUCAGAUGAGCCUAGGUCGGAUUAGCUAGUUGGUGGGGUAAAGGCCUACCAAGGCGACGAUCCGUAACUGGUCUGAGAGGAUGAUCAGUCACACUGGAACUGAGACACGGUCCAGACUCCUACGGGAGGCAGCAGUGGGGAAUAUUGGACAAUGGGCGAAAGCCUGAUCCAGCCAUGCCGCGUGUGUGAAGAAGGUCUUCGGAUUGUAAAGCCCUUUUAGUUGGGAAGAAGGGCAGUAAGUUAAUACCUUGCUGUUUUGACGUUACCAACAGAAUAAGCACCGGCUAACUUCGUG
Molecule: ribosomal RNA, 484 nt
Filed under: uncultured bacterium
Lineage: Bacteria
Description: partial 16S ribosomal RNA
Rfam family: Bacterial small subunit ribosomal RNA
Source: RNAcentral